Long non-coding RNA from Polyodon spathula (Mississippi paddlefish), 1666 nucleotides. RefSeq lists it as uncharacterized. Lineage: Eukaryota; Metazoa; Chordata; Actinopteri; Acipenseriformes; Polyodontidae. The record is from RefSeq and is a predicted model, not a curated record. The transcript has 7 exons.
UAACAUUGCCAAGGAAAGUUUGUUUGAAGAAACACUGUUUGUACUGUUACUGGAAUUGAGCAGUGUUUUCAGCAGUGGCGUUUGUGACCGAUGGGAAGUUUGAUUCAAAGUUGAGGUAACGAGGUUAUCCGGAAGCGGCUUCUGAUUGACUGUGAUGGAGCUGGUGACGAUCGGCGCAUUGAUGUCCUAUUGAAGAGCUUCAUCAAGUGGUGUAAUUGUGGAUCCCAGGAAGACGGGUACACACAGUACCAGCGUAUGUUGGGUACCCUGGGACAAUGUGAAUUCUCAAUGGUUACUGGUCUAUGACAUGAACCUAAAGGAAAUGAAGAACUAUGAAGAAAUGUAAACAGAAAUAGGGCAGAACUUAACAGCUGCACGCUAAAAAAUUGCUGAAUGCAAAAAAUAAAUUUUACAAGCAAAGAGAAUACCAAAGAACCAGCAAGGCAGCUUGAAUCGCUUGACAGAACUGCAGCAUCUGUCUCAGAUCAAAAAAAAUGUUGAAGACAAGCUUGAGCUGAGGAAGAAACAAUUUCAUGUUUUGCUAAGCACCAUCCAGGAACUUCAACAAACAUUAGAAAAUGAUGAAAAGUUCUAAGACGCUGACGAACAGCAAGAAAACCAAAUGGAAACAUUAAAUGGACACUGAGAAGAGACCAAGGAGUCUGUUUACAUGUGUUUCGACCGUCAAUCUUCAAUGUGUAUUAUUAGAUAAGAAAAGCUCUCUUGUCCUUUUUUUUUUUUUUUUUUUUUUUUUAAGCAAAUGUUUUAUGGUAUUAAUAUAUGUUAGUUAUCACUAGUUUCAGUUAUGAAAUAGUACUGUAAUGCCCUAGCAGUGUAUAUUUUUGCUGAUUAUUAUGCUAAACGGAAUGAAAUGUUUGAGUUGCACAGUUACAUUACUACUUUCUUUUUCUUGAUGUGAGAAAGAUGAUGUUUUAAUACAAAAGUGCAUUCCAUGAAUAUCUUUUCUCCUUAAUUAACUUCCUGCCCUGACUGAGGAUGUUUUAGUUGCUCUGUCCAAGGCUACAAAAGUACAGAUAACAUACAGAACAGAGUCAUUUUUGCAAAAUUGAAUUAACAGUGGGUUGUACAGUUAAGGCACACACAAUCAUAUUGAGGAUUAUUUGGAUGUGCAUAUGUUCCUUGGACACUGGUGGUGAGUGACUGCAGCUGAUCCAGCAUGAAUGAUGCAGCUAAUUUUGAGUUUUGUCCUUUUCCCAUUUAUAGACACUGAGAAUAAGCUGUCGUUCCAUUGCUAACAAGCAGUUUAGUGAGGUUUAAUUAUACUAAGCUAUAUAGUGGUUGAGGUAGAAGAACAACUAAAUGUUAUAGAAGUGGAACUUGUCAAUCCCCUGGCCCCACCACUCUUUCAACUACUUAAAGACCCAUAAACUGUACUGCCCUGUAACACCUGUAAAUUGACUUGGAUAAAGGUGUCUGCCAAAUAAAUAAAUAAUAGUAAAUCAAUUUCAUAUUUUAAGUGCUAUAGAAUCACAUUGUUUAAACAAUUGUUUGUUGCAAUGAUACAGAUAUUUUUCACAUGUCCAUUGUAGCUCGCGUUUACAAACUAUUCCUUCAGAGAACUUAUUCCAAAUGUUUCUCAUAAAUGGUAGAAAUUACCAUUGCAGAACAGUGCCACCUAAUAAAAUCGGACAGGUCAUUAUGUUUA